GAGGGAAAGGCGAAAAGAACCCCGGCGAGGGGAGUGAAACAGAACCUGAAACCGUGUACGUACAAGCAGUGGGAGCCCCACCACUAAGCCAGUGGUGAACUCCACAUACGCAUCCUUUGCGGAAGAUGCGGUUAACGGAGCGAAAGCGACGUUCAACCUAAAAAGAAGCAGAGGGGGCUUAGUGGUGGGGUGACUGCGUACCUUUUGUAUAAUGGGUCAGCGACUUAUAUUCUGUAGCAAGGUUAACCGAAUAGGGGAGCCGGAGGGAAACCGAGUCUUAAUUGGGCGUUAAGUUGCAGGGUAUAGACCCGAAACC
Molecule: ribosomal RNA, 316 nt
Filed under: Salmonella enterica subsp. arizonae serovar 51:g,z51:-
Lineage: Bacteria; Pseudomonadati; Pseudomonadota; Gammaproteobacteria; Enterobacterales; Enterobacteriaceae
Description: bacterial LSU rRNA
Rfam family: Bacterial large subunit ribosomal RNA
Source: RNAcentral